GGCCAACAUGGUCAUAACUCGUGAUGCAUAACUAUAAGUGGGAAAUACUGUAUCACUGAACUAUUUUUCUUAAAACAUGAAUACAUAUAGGCCAUCAAGGCCUCUGACAUACUGUACAAAAUGAACCUAUAUCUACAAAGCCUCUAAGAUUAUGCGACAUCAAAUGGGACAGGGUGCCGGCCUACUCAUAAGUCUGUAGCAAAACUUUAACACGAUGACUCAUAGACUCGGCUGCACUCCGAAUGAGGUGGAGUCUUACCGAUCCUUCGUUGAAUGCCAAUCUCGUCUAAUAUGAGGGAUCGUCAAAUUGCUUUCCUAUACUUGCGCGCAUGAAAUGCAGCAUCCCUAGGAAAAAGGGACGUCAGUACGAAUAAUGUACCGAGUAUGUAAGGUACAUAAAUAAGUACAUAACCGACAUGGAAGAAAUAUAGAGUAAAUGACUAAACUUGUAAGUCUAGAUAACUCCGUAAAUCAGGAAAUACUUAUAGUAUCAUGCAUAUGCAUAUGAAUAUCAUGUCGUGCAUAGGUACAUGUGUUCGUAACAUCAUCAAGUCUCUAAGGGCAUCCCAUCAUAUCAUCUCGGCCACCGUGGGCAAAAUCGCCAACGUAUACCAGCUGAUCAGGUGAUGGUGCAAAUAUAACGCCAUAACCUUUUCCGUAUCCCAUAUAUAUAUAUAUAUAUAUAUAUAUAAUGCCAUCUAGUCAUGGGUCUGUGUAAAUAAAUGCAAUGCAUCAUCUCGACCACUGUGGGCAAAAUCGUCACCGUAUAUCAGCUGAUCAGGUGGUGGUGCGUAUAUAGCGCCAUAACCUUUCCCGUAUCUCAUAUACAUUUAUAUACAUAUAUAUACGCGUAUAUAAUACUAUCUGGUCAUGGGUCAGUCUAAAUUAAUGCAAUGCAUGAAAUGCAUAAGAAAUACGGUAAUAAGAUUUUCUCGGAAUGCCAUAAAAAUCAAUAUAUCUUUUGGAUAAACUUUAUCAAAUACGUAUUUUUCUAAGAUCCAUGAAAAGAUAAUAGAAUAAUAUGACUUAUGGGAGAAUAAUGAUAUACACAUCUCUAGCAUUUCUAUGAAUAGAAUAAUUUUUUGGAAGUUGUCAUUUGCUUGUUUCGUUUGUGUCAUAUAGAUCAUGCCAAAAAGAAAGAAGGGAUGACCUUAACAUACCUGAGCCGAUACUCUUGGCAAUCUCUCUAGCACACGCCAAUUGCAACAACACGUAAUGGCGGAUUGGAAUAAGGAAAAUCCGUAUGAUAUUCUUGAGAAAGAUCGCAAAAGUAUUUCAUUGGACAUUGAUUGGAGGAUUAACAAUAAAGGGCAUUCUAAAAGUCUAACACUUUUUAACCCUGAUGGAUUUCGUAGUAGUGAAUCCUUUCUCAAGGAGUAUUGGACAAUUACAAUUUUUUUUAUGAAGUAUUCAUGCUAGAGAUAUACACAGCCACAGAUAUAGAAAUCUUGUAAGAACACAAACUCUUAGAAGAAAUUUUGCCGAAGGGACAUAACUUUUAUAAAGAUUUUUUUGUAUAAAUCACCAUAAAAACAAAGUUGGAAGUACACUUCUUAUACAACCAUGCAGUAACAUAGAGACAGACACACAUAGGAAUUAAAAAUGCAGAAUUGGAAAUAUUACAUCUUUUAAAAAGAUAACAAAAUAAUAAUAAUUGAGACAUUACACAAGGGAGAAGGCACACGUAAUAGAAACACUAUUUCAUACGUUAAUGGUAAAAUGGGACAGGAGGACAAUAAGAAAUAGUUUAUGGGUCCUACGACAACAAUAAAAUUCAUGGCCAUUCUAAAUUCUUUUCAAUAAUUUGUCCUUUUGCCAUGUCUUGAAAAAUAAAACUGUCCAAAAUAAAACACCAGAAAGGAUUCAACAGAAACUACUCUUUAUAGCAUCUACUAGAGACAAUACCAUUCUCUGGCUUCACCUUUUAAGAGAUUCUAAACCAGGGUUAACCGCCUUUUAUACAAAGAGUAGAUGUCAUUACCUAAAGUAGCUCCUAACUAGACUGCUUUUACUGUGGGUGACUACUUAAUGUGCAAUAAAGCUUGGCAUGUAGGAGGACCAAAGAAAGAG
RNAcentral lists this long non-coding RNA (2070 nucleotides) under Nicotiana tabacum (common tobacco). Its description in RNAcentral is "long non-coding RNA (NTAB_LNC013302)". Lineage: Eukaryota; Viridiplantae; Streptophyta; Magnoliopsida; Solanales; Solanaceae. The record is from RNAcentral.